AGUGAACGCUGGCGGUAGGCCUAACACAUGCAAGUCGAACGGCAGCACAGCAAGAGCUUGCUCUUACGGGUGGCGAGUGGCGGUCGGGUGAGGAAUACAUCGGAAUCUACUUUUUCGUAGGGGAUAACGUAGGGAAACUUACGCUAAUACCGCAUACGACCUACGGGUGAAAGCAGGGGAUCUUCGGACCUUGCGCGAUUGAAUGAGCCGAUGUCGGAUUAGCUAGUUGGCGGGGUAAAGGCCCACCAAGGCGACGAUCCGUAGCUGGUCUGAGAGGAUGAUCAGCCACACUGGAACUGAGACACGGUCCAGACUCCUACGGGAGGCAGCAGUGGGGAAUAUUGGACAAUGGGCGCAAGCCUGAUCCAGCCAUACCGCGUGGGUGAAGAAGGCCUUCGGGUUGUAAAGCCCUUUUGUUGGGAAAGAAAAGCAGCAGGUUAAUACCCCGCUGUCCUGACGGUACCCAAAGAAUAAGCACCGGCUAACUUCGUG
This 492-nucleotide ribosomal RNA is filed under the name uncultured bacterium. Its description in RNAcentral is "partial 16S ribosomal RNA". It matches the Rfam family "Bacterial small subunit ribosomal RNA", at positions 29 to 507 of the family's 1533-position model. The record is from RNAcentral.